This 753-nucleotide ribosomal RNA is filed under the name Bacillus subtilis. Its description in RNAcentral is "partial 16S ribosomal RNA". It matches the Rfam family "Bacterial small subunit ribosomal RNA", at positions 1 to 726 of the family's 1533-position model. The record is from RNAcentral. Lineage: Bacteria; Bacillati; Bacillota; Bacilli; Caryophanales; Bacillaceae.
CCGAAUUCGUCGACAACAGAGUUUGAUCCUGGCUCAGGACGAACGCUGGCGGCGUGCCUAAUACAUGCAAGUCGAGCGGACAGAUGGGAGCUUGCUCCCUGAUGUUAGCGGCGGACGGGUGAGUAACACGUGGGUAACCUGCCUGUAAGACUGGGAUAACUCCGGGAAACCGGGGCUAAUACCGGAUGGUUGUUUGAACCGCAUGGUUCAAACAUAAAAGGUGGCUUCGGCUACCACUUACAGAUGGACCCGCGGCGCAUUAGCUAGUUGGUGAGGUAACGGCUCACCAAGGCGACGAUGCGUAGCCGACCUGAGAGGGUGAUCGGCCACACUGGGACUGAGACACGGCCCAGACUCCUACGGGAGGCAGCAGUAGGGAAUCUUCCGCAAUGGACGAAAGUCUGACGGAGCAACGCCGCGUGAGUGAUGAAGGUUUUCGGAUCGUAAAGCUCUGUUGUUAGGGAAGAACAAGUACCGUUCGAAUAGGGCGGUACCUUGACGGUACCUAACCAGAAAGCCACGGCUAACUACGUGCCAGCAGCCGCGGUAAUACGUAGGUGGCAAGCGUUGUCCGGAAUUAUUGGGCGUAAAGGGCUCGCAGGCGGUUUCUUAAGUCUGAUGUGAAAGCCCCCGGCUCAACCGGGGAGGGUCAUUGGAAACUGGGGAACUUGAGUGCAGAAGAGGAGAGUGGAAUUCCACGUGUAGCGGUGAAAUGCGUAGAGAUGUGGAGGAACACCAGUGGCGAAGGCGACU